RNAcentral lists this long non-coding RNA (1554 nucleotides) under Macaca fascicularis (crab-eating macaque). RNAcentral describes it as "lncRNA (ENSMFAG00000061007.1)". Lineage: Eukaryota; Metazoa; Chordata; Mammalia; Primates; Cercopithecidae. The record is from RNAcentral.
CCGCUACCAAGAAAAUUGUCUAGCUCGCUGAUCUGACACCUGGCAGCUGGCUGCCACCCAGUGGCAGAAAUGAGAAAGGCUUAGGGGGUGCUAGUUUACACUUGCUAGUUAGGUGGCUACAAAAACAUUUUGCUAGAAAUUUCAGUUAGGUCACAUGUUGGGGAAGGAUGUGUCUGGCAUUUGGAUUGUUUGUGACUUGGUUGGGUUUAAGUGAAAGACGGUUUGUCUUUCUACGUUUGAAACUGCUGUCACUGUCACUAGCGCACCGCCUCCACAUGGUAGAGAGCUGCAUUCUUGUAGGUAGACAUCACCGUUUUAGCUGAAGAAGUUUGCUUCGUGACCCAUAUGUGCUCCAUUUAUAUGCUACUUCUACUUUUCAAAAAUAGAUUUCCAGCCUGGCAACAGCAGGCCCCUUCAUCUACGGUAAUGUUCCAGCAGUGUGGUAGGACGAAGUUGUGGCUGCGAAUCAUGGCACACCUAACCCUUCGUCUUCAAACUCUACACCAUCAAAAUAAGUAACCAUAAACUGGAGAGGAAAGAGACGAAUACAAACAAUUGAUAAACUAAUGAUUUAGAAGUAAUAACCCAGUAAUAAUAUCAGGGUACUCUUCACUACAAUUCAAUUCAACUGUUGAUUCGCUAAUGACAGAAAUCCAUCUUGAAUGAACUUAAACAAAAGAAUGAAUCUGGCAGGGCACAGUGGCUCGUGCCUGUAAUCCCAGCACUUUGGGAGGCAGAGGCGAGUGAAUCAUUUGGGGUCAGGAGUUUGAAACCAGCUUGGCCAACAUGGUGAGACCCCAUUUCUACUAAAAAUACAUAAAUUAGCUGGGCAUGGUGGUGGGAGGUUGAGGUAGGAGAAUCAUUUGAACCGGGGAGGUGAAGGGUUGCAGUGAACCAAGGUCACACCAUUGUACUCCAGCUUGGACAACAGAGUCCUGCUCCGUCUCGAAAAAAAAAGAACAAAUUCAUAGUAAAGAUGCUGGAGUAUCUCAAAAUCAAAGGUAGGUUGGAUAACAAAAUGAUGAGAGAGUAACGUGUGUUAUGGGGCCUGAUGGGUAGUGAGAGCCUAAACUUGGUCUUCAGCUCUCUUCCUCUUUCUCUCCUUAUGCUUCAGUCUGUGUUGAGUUCAGUCAGUCUCUCUGCAAAUGAGCAUUUCCACAUAGUAGGAAGCAGAAACACUGAAAGCUCCCAUAUUUCAUGUUGGAGAUCCUACCAGUAAGGGGCUAAAUCAUUGCAGAAAACAGCCACGUCUCCUGCAAGUUCACACAGAAAGCAUACACCCAGGGGUCAUGCUUUACCAAGUGAUUCCUACCCCCUCUGCCACUCCUACAAUUAGGUGUUUGCAAAAUCACUGGGAGAGCUGGGGAUGCAGGAAUUAGGCUGAGCUUCCUGGACCAACUUCCAGCUUCCAGUUUCCUGCCACAGUCAGAAAGCCUCUGCUGCUCUCUGUGCAAGUCAAAUGGAUGGCCUAUGUUCUGCUUCUUGAUACCCACACAAAGCUAAGAAUCAACCACUGGGACCUCAGGUGCACCUGUCACAGAAAAAAAAAAAAAA